UGUUUUCCCCUAAAAUUUAUUUUUAGCAAAUUGAACUAAAAGAAAUAAUCAUGUGUGUGUUUAACAAAUCUAUAAAAUCCUUACACUUGCUCUGAAAGUGGAAUCCUUACUUUUCAUUUCAAAGGUUACCAGUUUAUUGGACCCAAUGUGCUGGUAUUGUACAGAGUGGAGACACACACUCAGCACAUUAAGUCAGCAAACAUGACAUCUGGUGUGGUUGGUUUAUUCAUGUUGUCACUGCUGCUCCCUGGAAUAGAUGCUGCUUUCUUGAAUGCUGACACACAACAGCUGUGCUCCUACUUAUGUAAUAUAAACCAAUGUCCAGACAGUUGCAGAAUGCAAGUUGGUGUGAAGUGGUCACGAAGAUCUCUCAACUCAGUUCUUCACUUCAAGAG
Molecule: long non-coding RNA, 395 nt
Organism: Octopus bimaculoides (California two-spot octopus)
Lineage: Eukaryota; Metazoa; Mollusca; Cephalopoda; Octopoda; Octopodidae
Source: RefSeq, a predicted model, not a curated record